UAGGGAAUCUUCGGCAAUGGGGGCAACCCUGACCGAGCAACGCCGCGUGAGUGAAGAAGGUUUUCGGAUCGUAAAGCUCUGUUGUAAGUCAAGAACGGGUGUGAGAGUGGAAAGUUCACACUGUGACGGUAGCUUACCAGAAAGGGACGGCUAACUACGUGCCAGCAGCCGCGGUAAUACGUAGGUCCCGAGCGUUGUCCGGAUUUAUUGGGCGUAAAGCGAGCGCAGGCGGUUUGAUAAGUCUGAAGUUAAAGGCUGUGGCUCAACCAUAGUUCGCUUUGGAAACUGUCAAACUUGAGUGCAGAAGGGGAGAGUGGAAUUCCAUGUGUAGCGGUGAAAUGCUUCGCUAUCUGGAGGAACACCGGUGGCGAAAGCGGCUCUCUGGUCUGUAACUGACGCUGAGGCUCGAAAGCGUGGGGAGCGAACAGG
RNAcentral lists this ribosomal RNA (429 nucleotides) under bacterium. Its description in RNAcentral is "partial 16S ribosomal RNA". It matches the Rfam family "Bacterial small subunit ribosomal RNA", at positions 355 to 776 of the family's 1533-position model. The record is from RNAcentral.